UAGGGAAUCUUCCGCAAUGGGCGAAAGCCUGACGGAGCAACGCCGCGUGAGUGAUGAAGGUCUUCGGAUCGUAAAACUCUGUUAUUAGGGAAGAACAAAUGUGUAAGUAACUAUGCACGUCUUGACGGUACCUAAUCAGAAAGCCACGGCUAACUACGUGCCAGCAGCCGCGGUAAUACGUAGGUGGCAAGCGUUAUCCGGAAUUAUUGGGCGUAAAGCGCGCGUAGGCGGUUUUUUAAGUCUGAUGUGAAAGCCCACGGCUCAACCGUGGAGGGUCAUUGGAAACUGGAAAACUUGAGUGCAGAAGAGGAAAGUGGAAUUCCAUGUGUAGCGGUGAAAUGCGCAGAGUUAUGGAGGAACACCAGUGGCGAAGGCGACUUUCUGGUCUGUAACUGACGCUGAUGUGCGAAAGCGUGGGGAUCAAACAGG
RNAcentral lists this ribosomal RNA (429 nucleotides) under Actinomycetes bacterium. RNAcentral's name for it is "Actinobacteria bacterium partial 16S ribosomal RNA". It matches the Rfam family "Bacterial small subunit ribosomal RNA", at positions 355 to 776 of the family's 1533-position model. Lineage: Bacteria; Bacillati; Actinomycetota; Actinomycetes. The record is from RNAcentral. RNAcentral also lists the same sequence under 1 other name.